UAUUAUAAAAAAUUUAAUAAUUAAAAAUAGAGUAGUAUUAGUUAUAUUCUUAAAACUUAAUAAAUUUGGCGGUAUUUUAAUCUAUUCAGAGGAACUUGUUUUAUAAUUGAUAAUCCUCAUUUAAUCUUACUUAAUUUUGUUUAAUUUGUAUACCGUCGUCAUAAGAAUUUCUUAAAAAAGAAAAAAUUUUCUAAAAUUUUUAUUAAUAAUAAUGUCAGAUCAAGGUGCAGUUUAUAUUUAAGUAAAAAUGAGUUACAAUAAAAUUAUUUAUAAUGGAUUAAAAAAUUUAAUUUUUUUAUGAAAGUGGAUUUGAUAGUAAAAUAAAAUAUUAAAUUUAUUUGAUUAUAGUUCUAAAAUAUGUACAUAUCGCCCGUCACUCUCGUUAAUUAAAAUGAG
This 396-nucleotide ribosomal RNA is filed under the name Mycomya branderi. Its description in RNAcentral is "partial 12S ribosomal RNA". The record is from RNAcentral. Lineage: Eukaryota; Metazoa; Arthropoda; Insecta; Diptera; Mycetophilidae.